CAGCCGUAAACAAUGUGCGUUAGGUGUGUCGGUAACCACGUGUUACUGAUGCGCCGAAGAGAAAUCGUGAAACGCACCACCUGGGAAGUACGGUCGCAAGGCUGAAACUUAAAGGAAUUGGCGGGGGAGCACCACAGCAGGUGGAGCCUGCGGUUUAAUUGGAUUCAACGCCGGACAUCUCACCGGAUAAGACAGCUGAAUGAUUGUCAAUCUGAAGGUUUUACAUGACUAGCUGAGAGGUGGUGCAUGGCGUCAGUGACU
This 261-nucleotide ribosomal RNA is filed under the name uncultured archaeon. RNAcentral's name for it is "partial 16S ribosomal RNA". It matches the Rfam family "Archaeal small subunit ribosomal RNA", at positions 748 to 1008 of the family's 1478-position model. The record is from RNAcentral.